UCUCCUCCGGAUGUUCACAAAAGAAGAUUUCUAGAUCUGCUCCGGCGACCUUAGUUCUUCACUCCCGUCAUUAAGCUUCCGAUUGAGCCAUCGGCCUUAACCACCACCUCGACUUGCUUCCUCCGGACUGGUCAGAAGGGGAUUAGAUCGGUUUUCGGAUUUUUUCUAAGCUAGGAAGGAAGGGUUCGAGCUGAAGCGGUUGGCUUGCUAGGAACGGGAGCCAUCUGCCACGUGUUGUGGUGUCGGAGCUCACCUUACUGGGAGAUCUAUAACGGGUUGGCGGAUCGGGGGAAAAGGAACGGAGGCUGGGAGUCAGAUGCUUCCCACCGUUGACUAGAUACCCCGGUUUGGUUGCAAAGUGGUGGAUCUCGCAUCUGCCGGUUCUAAUGGUGAGACUCUGCAUCAGCGGUGUCAAUAGGCUCAGAUCUUCUUUUCCGGCGCCAAUUGUAUUUUCCGAUUUCCUUUGCUUCUGGGCUUUUUUGUUUGUGACGGCUCGGCCCAAUUAAGUGGGUAUUAAUAAGAUGAGGUCCAUUAAAAAAAA
RNAcentral lists this long non-coding RNA (541 nucleotides) under Capsella grandiflora. RNAcentral's name for it is "long non-coding RNA (CGRA_LNC001698)". Lineage: Eukaryota; Viridiplantae; Streptophyta; Magnoliopsida; Brassicales; Brassicaceae. The record is from RNAcentral.